RNAcentral lists this ribosomal RNA (424 nucleotides) under uncultured bacterium. RNAcentral describes it as "partial 16S ribosomal RNA". It matches the Rfam family "Bacterial small subunit ribosomal RNA", at positions 360 to 776 of the family's 1533-position model. The record is from RNAcentral.
AAUCUUCCACAAUGGGCGAAAGCCUGAUGGAGCAACGCCGCGUGAGUGUAGAAGGUUUUCGGAACGUAAAACUCUGUUGUAAGGGAAGAACAAGUACCGUAGUAACUGGCUGUACCUUAACGGUACCUGAUUAGACAGCCACGGCUAACUAUGUGCCAGCAGCCGCGGUAAUACGUAGGUGGCAAGCGUUGUCCGGAAUUAUUGGGCGUAAAGCGCGCGCAGGCGGUCCUUUAAGUCUGAUGGGAAAGCCCACGGCUCAACCGGGGAGGGUCAUUGGAAACUGGGGGACUUGAGUGCAGAAGAGGAAAGUGGAAUUCCAAGUGUAGCGGUGAAAUGCGUAGAGAUUUGGAGGAACACCAGUGGCGAAGGCGACUUUCUGGUCUGUAACUGACGCUGAGGCGCGAAAGCGUGGGGAGCAAACAGG